This 334-nucleotide unclassified non-coding RNA is filed under the name soil metagenome. RNAcentral's name for it is "partial contains 5.8S ribosomal RNA, internal transcribed spacer 2, and large subunit ribosomal RNA". The stretch from base 1 to 120 matches the Rfam family "5.8S ribosomal RNA", at positions 35 to 154 of the family's 154-position model. The record is from RNAcentral.
GAUGAAGAACGCAGCGAAAUGCGAUAAGUAAUGUGAAUUGCAGAAUUCAGUGAAUCAUCGAAUCUUUGAACGCACAUUGCGCCCGCCAGCAUUCUGGCGAGCAUGCCUGUUCGAGCGUCAUUUCAACCAUCAAGCCCCAGGCUUGUGUUGGAGCCCUGCGGCUGCCGCAGCCUCCCAAAACCAGUGGCGGGCUCGCUAUCACACCGAGUGCAGUAGUUUACUCUUCGCUCAGGGCGUGUGGCGGGUGCUAGCCGUGAAACCCCCAACUUCUCAAGGUUGACCUCGGAUCAGGUAGGAAUACCCGCUGAACUUAAGCAUAUCAAUAAGCGGAGGA